GGGGAUGUGAUUUUAAUAGCUUCUUUU
RNAcentral lists this unclassified non-coding RNA (27 nucleotides) under Severe acute respiratory syndrome coronavirus 2. RNAcentral's name for it is "RNA (5'-R(*GP*GP*GP*GP*AP*UP*GP*UP*GP*AP*UP*UP*UP*UP*AP*AP*UP*AP*G)-3') from Severe acute respiratory syndrome coronavirus 2 (PDB 7N0D, chain T)". The record is from RNAcentral. Lineage: Riboviria; Orthornavirae; Pisuviricota; Pisoniviricetes; Nidovirales; Coronaviridae.